GAUGAACGCUAGCGGCAGGCCUAACACAUGCAAGUCGAGGGAGAAGCCCUUUCGGGGGCAGAAACCGGCGCACGGGUGCGUAACGCGUAUGCAACCUACCUUUCACAGGGGGAUAGCCCGAAGAAAUUUGGAUUAAUACCCCAUAAUAUUAUUGGAUGGCAUCAUUUGAUAAUUAAAACUGCGGUGGUGAAAGGUGGGCAUGCGUCCUAUUAGCUAGUUGGAGUGGUAACGGCACCCCAAGGCUACGAUAGGUAGGGGUCCUGAGAGGGAGAUCCCCCACACUGGUACUGAGACAGGGACCAGACUCCUACGGGAGGCAGCAGUGAGGAAUAUUGGUCAAUGGUCGGAAGACUGAACCAGCCAUGCCGCGUGCAGGAAGAAUGCCUUAUGGGUUGUAAACUGCUUUUAUAUGGGAAGAAUAAGGCGUACGUGUACGUUGAUGACGGUACCAUAUGAAUAAGCAUCGGCUAACUCCGUG
RNAcentral lists this ribosomal RNA (478 nucleotides) under uncultured bacterium. Its description in RNAcentral is "partial 16S ribosomal RNA". It matches the Rfam family "Bacterial small subunit ribosomal RNA", at positions 28 to 507 of the family's 1533-position model. The record is from RNAcentral.